RNAcentral lists this ribosomal RNA (1499 nucleotides) under uncultured bacterium. RNAcentral describes it as "bacterial SSU rRNA". It matches the Rfam family "Bacterial small subunit ribosomal RNA". The record is from RNAcentral.
UAGAGUUUGAUCAUGGCUCAGGAUGAACGCUAGCGGCAGGCUUAACACAUGCAAGUCGAGGGGCAUCGGGAGGGAAGCUUGCUUUCCUUGCUGGCGACCGGCGCACGGGUGAGUAACACGUAUGCAACCUGCCCUCUUCAGGGGGACAACCUUCCGAAAGGGAGGCUAAUCCCGCGUAUAUCGGUUUCGGGCAUCCGAGAUCGAGGAAAGAUUCAUCGGAAGAGGAUGGGCAUGCGGCGCAUUAGCUUGACGGCGGGGUAACGGCCCACCGUGGCGACGAUGCGUAGGGGUUCUGAGAGGAAGGUCCCCCACACUGGUACUGAGACACGGACCAGACUCCUACGGGAGGCAGCAGUGAGGAAUAUUGGUCAAUGGGCGCGAGCCUGAACCAGCCAAGUCGCGUGAGGGAUGACGGUCCUACGGAUUGUAAACCUCUUUUGCCGGGGAGCAAGCGUGCGUUCGUGAACGCGCGUCGAGAGUACCCGGAGAAAAAGCAUCGGCUAACUCCGUGCCAGCAGCCGCGGUAAUACGGAGGAUGCGAGCGUUAUCCGGAUUUAUUGGGUUUAAAGGGUGCGCAGGCGGAAGAUCAAGUCAGCGGUAAAAUUGAGAGGCUCAACCUCUUCGAGCCGUUGAAACUGGUUUUCUUGAGUGAGCGAGAAGUAUGCGGAAUGCGUGGUGUAGCGGUGAAAUGCAUAGAUAUCACGCAGAACUCCGAUUGCGAAGGCAGCAUACCGGCGCUCAACUGACGCUCAUGCACGAAAGUGUGGGUAUCGAACAGGAUUAGAUACCCUGGUAGUCCACACAGUAAACGAUGAAUACUAAUUGUUCGGGGAGAAUGAUCCCUGAGUGAUACAGCGAAAGCGUUAAGUAUUCCACCUGGGGAGUACGCCGGCAACGGUGAAACUCAAAGGAAUUGACGGGGGCCCGCACAAGCGGAGGAACAUGUGGUUUAAUUCGAUGAUACGCGAGGAACCUUACCCGGGCUCAAACGACACAGGAAUACUUUUGAAAGGAGGUAGCUCUACGGAGUCUGUGUCGAGGUGCUGCAUGGUUGUCGUCAGCUCGUGCCGUGAGGUGUCGGCUUAAGUGCCAUAACGAGCGCAACCCCCAUCGCCAGUUACCAGCAAGUCAAGUUGGGGACUCUGGCGAGACUGCCGGCGCAAGCUGUGAGGAAGGCGGGGAUGACGUCAAAUCAGCACGGCCCUUACGUCCGGGGCGACACACGUGUUACAAUGGCAGGUACAGAGAGAAGCAAUGCGGCGACGCAAAGCGGAACUUGAAAGCCUGUCUCAGUUCGGAUUGGAGUCUGCAACUCGACUCCAUGAAGCUGGAUUCGCUAGUAAUCGCGCAUCAGCCAUGGCGCGGUGAAUACGUUCCCGGGCCUUGUACACACCGCCCGUCAAGCCAUGGAAGCCGGGAGUGCCUGAAGUGUGCAACCGCAAGGAGCGCCCUAAGGUAAAACUGGUGACUGGGGCUAAGUCGUAACAAGGUAACCGUAA